RNAcentral lists this ribosomal RNA (253 nucleotides) under uncultured bacterium. RNAcentral's name for it is "partial 16S ribosomal RNA". It matches the Rfam family "Bacterial small subunit ribosomal RNA", at positions 524 to 776 of the family's 1533-position model. The record is from RNAcentral.
CACGUAGGGUGCGAGCGUUGUCCGGAAUUACUGGGCGUAAAGAGCUCGUAGGUGGUUUGUCGCGUUGUUCGUGAAAACCGGGGGCUUAACCCUCGGCGUGCGGGCGAUACGGGCAGACUUGAGUACUGCAGGGGAGACUGGAAUUCCUGGUGUAGCGGUGGAAUGCGCAGAUAUCAGGAGGAACACCGGUGGCGAAGGCGGGUCUCUGGGCAGUAACUGACGCUGAGGAGCGAAAGCGUGGGGAGCGAACAGG